RNAcentral lists this ribosomal RNA (385 nucleotides) under uncultured bacterium. Its description in RNAcentral is "bacterial SSU rRNA". It matches the Rfam family "Bacterial small subunit ribosomal RNA", at positions 355 to 753 of the family's 1533-position model. The record is from RNAcentral.
UCGAGAAUCUUCCGCAAUGGACGAAAGUCUGACGGAGCGACGCCGCGUGGUUGAUGAAGUCCUUAGGGACGUAAAAACCUUUUAUGAGGGAGAAAGUUUAUUGAUAGUACCUCAUGAAUAAGGGGUUGCUAAACUCGUGCCAGCAGCAGCGGUAAUACGAGUGCCCCGAGCGUUAUCCGGAAUCAUUGGGCGUAAAGGGUGUGUAGGUGGUUGUAUUAGUCUUUUGUUAAAUUCUUCGGCUUAACCGGGGGCAUGCAAAAGAAACGGUACAACUUGAGAGUGCGAGGGGUGUAUGGAACUCAUGGAGUAGGGGUGAAAUCCGUUGAUAUCAUGGGGAACACCAAAAGCGAAGGCAGUACACUGGCGCAUUUCUGACACUGAAACA